Long non-coding RNA from Myiozetetes cayanensis, 288 nucleotides. RefSeq lists it as uncharacterized. The record is from RefSeq and is a predicted model, not a curated record. NCBI's taxonomy places the organism in Eukaryota, Metazoa, Chordata, Aves, Passeriformes, Tyrannidae. The transcript is spliced from 3 exons.
CUAGAUGGACUCAUUAUGAAUCAAGUUCCCUCAGAACAAAGAGGAAGUGCUCUGCUACACUGACAUUGUACAUCAUGGAGCCUGGAUAAAGUCAAGAGCUGAUGUAACCUUGACUUUUGACAUCCCAAGAGACUGCUGUCUAGAUAAUGCAAGGUGCCUUUUGGGGAUCUGACUCCCAGCUCGUGCGUCUCACAUCAAGAGGUCAACUGAAUACAGGAUCAUAGAAUAUCCUGAGUUGGAGGGGGCCCACAAGGAUCAUCAAAGUCCACUUCCUGACUCUACACCUCA